This 466-nucleotide ribosomal RNA is filed under the name uncultured bacterium. Its description in RNAcentral is "partial 16S ribosomal RNA". It matches the Rfam family "Bacterial small subunit ribosomal RNA", at positions 28 to 507 of the family's 1533-position model. The record is from RNAcentral.
GACGAACGCUGGCGGCGUGCUUAACACAUGCAAGUCGAACGGAAAGGCCCUGCUUGCAGGGUACUCGAGUGGCGAACGGGUGAGUAACACGUGGGUGAUCUGCCCUGCACUUCGGGAUAAGCCUGGGAAACUGGGUCUAAUACCGGAUAGGAGACAUUUUUAGUGUGAUGGUUGGAAAGUUUUUUUCGGUGUAGGAUGAGCUCGCGGCCUAUCAGCUUGUUGGUGGGGUAAUGGCCUACCAAGGCGGCGACGGGUAGCCGGCCUGAGAGGGUGGACGGCCACAUUGGGACUUAGAUACGGCCCAGACUCCUACGGGAGGCAGCAGUGGGGAAUAUUGCACAAUGGGCGCAAGCCUGAUGCAGCGACGCCGCGUGGGGGAUGACGGCCUUCGGGUUGUAAACUCCUUUCGCUAGGGACGAAGCUUUUUGUGACGGUACCUAGAUAAGAAGCACCGGCUAACUACGUG